UCGACUCCAUCAAGUAUUUUCUACUUGAAAUGUAUUGGAGAUUUAAAUUCCCUAUUUCAAAAGAAACUUUAUCAAUUUUUGUUUUCACAGAAACUUCUCAUAGCACAGAAACGCCAGAAGCCAGAUGAAGACACCUGUCCCUAUCUGCAUGUGGAGCCAUAAGCAGUCAUUCCUAACUUGGCAGCGCUCCUUCCAAGUGACAUUUCCAACACCACCUAGAGGACCAGGAAAUUCAGUCAGGCUGGCGACGCCAGAGGUCAGCAAAGCCGGAACGGGAUACGUCUCCAAUCUUCCAUGGGAGCCACGUAGUUGUCUCUGGGCUUGGAUGGGCUUGACAGCUCCAUCCACAGUACUUGAAGAAACAGCUCUCACUCUUUCAGCCACCCUGGGAUUGGUAACCAAGGAAGGAACAGAAGAAAAAGGUCUUAUUGUUCCUCUUUUGUCCAGGGUAAGAACAACUUUGGAGAUAAAAAUACUUUGUGGGGUUUUUUUUUUUUUUUUUUUUUUGCUACCUUUGUCAAUUUUGCCAUUUUGUGAUUCAGUCAUUAUAUGUUUUUUUAUCAUCAAAGGCACUGGGGAGAGUUUUGUGGGUUAUGUUAAAUCAUGGAACUAGUUGUGAUUCAAACUCAGAUAAAAUCUCUCAAAAUUGAGAUGUAUUCCUGCCAACAUAUCUUUCAAACUUGGAGUUUUUAUUGCGUGCAGUCAGAAUGAAAAGAUUAGACAAAUU
This 727-nucleotide long non-coding RNA is filed under the name Vulpes vulpes (red fox). RNAcentral describes it as "lncRNA (ENSVVUG00000000369.1)". Lineage: Eukaryota; Metazoa; Chordata; Mammalia; Carnivora; Canidae. The record is from RNAcentral.